UUUUUUUUUGUAAUUUGUUGGUGUGUUGGGAUUUUGUUGGAUUUGAUCCGGGGAUUUGCCUUGUUACUUGUGGACCUAGCAUCUCCCUAAUUUUCUCCACCUUCCAUCCAUGAUAUCGCUCGAAUUUUGACCUCGAAAUUACCCUUGCCCGCCCCAAAACCCGCACCGAUCCAGAUCUUGUGAUCUUUUUCCAACCCCAGCGGUACUACCGCCUAUACAAGCGGUACUACCGCCCCGCCCAGUUUCAGUCAAAACCGAUUGGCAUCUUUGCCUCAACCACUAUACACCAUCACCACUUCCGCAUACCACCACCAUUUUGGACCGUUUCGCUCUCCGACACGUUUGCCACGUCGAGCUUUGAGAAUUUGAGUUGCGGUACCGUAUCCUUUUGUGUUUCGGCUAUCGAGGUACGGUUCGACAUCGACAUCACCGCCGCUCAUCUUCGCCACGGACGCGUCAACAACAACGACCACCUCGACUACAUCUUGGUAUUCGUGCCACCCACUUGAUCACCGUCAUCCAUUCUUGCUUACGGACGAGGAACCAAAGAACGGUAACCUCAUCUUGGUAUUGGACAUAUCACUUUUGCCAUUACAUUAAUAGCCGGUUUAUCCCUGCAACAGCCACCUGACCGGUACAACCGCCCCAAGCACUGGUACAACCAUUGAGCACAUCCGGAAACGCCUCCAGGAACCAGUGCCUGAGCUCCCAGCGGUACAACCGCCUUGCCUGCGCGCAGCGACAGGGGUUUUACCCCAUGUAUCCCCCAACUUACCCCUUGGACUAUAUAUACUUGUCCCUUAGCUCCGUACUAGGGUUAGCGUUGGUUUAGCUCAUUUUGAGAGAUAGAGCUUCGCUCAUCCACAUCGGAUCUACUCCUCGUGAGAGACCGCGGUCUCUUCGGAGAAGAUCCCUUUGGAUUAAGACCCCUCUUUAGGGAAGAACAUCAAGACCUCCUCACGGAGAAGACCGGCUACCCUUGUAUCGUCCUUGGUUGAUUGUGUACCGUGUGAACCCGAUGUAUUCGAGGAUCUAGCACAUGUGUGACUUUCUUGUGUUGGUUUAGUGUUUCCUCUUGUGUUUUCCCUCUUUUCCCCCUCGUGUUCCUCGUGUUCUUCGCGGGAUCCGCUCCUUUCGUGAAAGAUCGGCCCCUAGGGUUCCUACCCUACAUCAGUACCGGGAUUAGAGAUAGAGAACGGGGAUUAGAGAAACUAGACUUCUUUAAUUAUUGAUUGCCUCUAGCUUACACGGGGGAACUAGUACUACUUUAACAUGUUUUGGGCUCUAAUUGGAAUCUGACUCAAACUAGACUACCUUACCAGAAGCUGCAAACUACUUGAUGAUGCCAUGCCCCCAGGGUGUACCAGCAAAGGCAGGAGUCGGCCCAUUAGCCAUGGGAUGCCACAAUCCCAUGGCUCGGGCCAUGACAUACACCGGGGCACACAUCAAGACUUGGCAUACGAAAAUACGCGUCGCAAGAUCUGGUGUAAUCCCGUAUGAUUAGGCUAGAUCGUACCGACCUGGAUACAUUUAACCCUAGCCCUGUCCCCCCUAUAUAAGGUUGUCUGAGUGUGAUCUCAUGAUAUCAGAGUCAGGUGACUUCCUUUUUAUGAUCUGGCCCUGGGCUAAAACACGCUUAAGACAAACAACUAGCUAAAUCACCAUCUCAAGACAUGAUUCUUUUUUACCCGGGUUCAGGCCGCAAUGAUGCGUAAUACCCUACUCCUGCCUUGUUCCGUUUAUAUGGUAGAUAUAUGGAGGGUACAAGUGCUCACACACUAUUGGGGAGUGCUCGGGUAUAGCUAAGUGAUCAGAGCGUACUGGCCCAGGCACGCCUAUUCUUCCCUCCUCUCUUCUUACCACUUGAUUUAUUGUGUCUAAAAGACUUUCCCUUCUCCUGGCCGCGGCUCUCCCCUUAUAUACCAUCGAGGGGGAGGGGAUGGCACCACAGUGGCCUUUCAUAUAUACUAUGAACUUGGACGUAAUUAGUCACACGCCUUAUCUUUCACUUGGGUGGCUGUUGUCAGGCAAUUGGUCGUUUGACAUGAGCAGGCUCCCAAGCACUCGAGUCCUCCUGCCUCUCGCGGGCCCCACGUACCAGUGAGAGGGUGAGGCACCGGUGGUCCUUAGUCAAAAGACUCCAUGUAAUGUCGUUGUCAACAACUUGAUAGGCGCAGAUGACGGUGCGGAAAACCAUCAGAUCCCUCAGUAGGGUAGCGAGCGUAGCCGGAAGUACCAGAGGCGAGUUUGCACGGAGGGUUUACCCAGGUUCGGGCCAUCAUGGUGAGGUAAUACCCUAAGUCCUGCUUUGUUUUGUAUUGAUGUGGGAGCACCCCGUGCGAGGGGGUUACAAGAGAAUGGUGGAUAUGACUACCGAGUACUGUCUAUGUUUAUGGAACAGAUGGAUAUGAGCUACCCCUAGCCUCGCCGGACGAGAGCUAGGGUUUACUGGGCUCCUAACCAGCCUCAUGCAUGAGGUCUUCUUGGUUUGCACACCAAGAUGAACUCCUUGCUCCUAGCCUGGCCUGUGGACUGCCUCCUGGAGUCACGUUGGCCGCUGUAGAAAGCCAACAAAUCACCCUGGUGAAGAAUGGGGCCGAAGCCAGAGCUGGAAGCAUCACACUUGACGAUGAAGCGAGUGCCAAAGUCAAGCAUAUCAAGGACUGAGGCUGUACUGAGGGGGCGCUUGUGCGCACCAAACGUGGCCUGAACUUCUUCGCACCACCGUAAUCCCUCCUUUCUUCAGAAGCUUUGUGAGCGGGGCUCCGAUGGUACCAAAGUUCUUGAUGAACUUGCCCGUAGUAGCCUGCAAGGCCAAGGAAACCGCGUCUAGGACACGAACUAGUACUACUUUGUCAUACUCUCGACUCUAAUUGGAAUAUAACUCAAAGUAAACUACCUUAACAGAACCUGGAGACUACCAAUACAGAAGCAUCCUUCAGGACAUCAAACUGCCCUUGUCAAGCCACAGCCUAACCGGCCCCUGCUGCCUUGCGCCUACCAUGAGGAAUUCCCCAGAUAACAAUACGCAUGGCACACAUCAACUUCAAAUUGACAAGGAAUAUAAGCACAGAAACACUGGUCACUUCAUUUCUUAAUCCAGAACAAUUUUAAGCAAUUAACAGGUUAUUUGUCCAAAUUACAGUUUACUACCCCCGUUCCAAAAUAAUUGAAGUUCUAAGAUUGUCCAAAGUCAAACUUCAUUAAGUUUGACCAAGUUUAUAUGAAAAUAUAUCAACAUCUACAAAACCAAAAUUACUUCAUUAGAUUCACUAUGAAAUAUAUUAUCAUAUUGUAUAUAUUUGACAUUGUAAAUCUCUCUGGAUUUUUCUAUAGACAUGGUCAAACUUUAAAAAGUUUGACUUAGGAAAAUCCUAAAACUUCAAUUAUUUUGGAACAGAAGGAGUAAUAAGCCUUUAUGUUCAAGCACCAGAUAAACUCAAGGGAUUAGUGAUGAUAUAAUUAUGGAGGUUGAAAGGUGAAAAAAAUACAUACUUGAUUUGGGAUCAACGUGCACAAAAAAGCUUGCGGCAACUAUGAGAUAGCAUAAUAUGAGCAUAAGGCCUUUAAAAUAGUUCGACGUGCCUUCCUGGAAAAAGCAUAGACUAAAGUGUUAGAGUUGCACUUGAUCAAAUCUAAAAGGAGUACAUUGUGGCAACUGUAUAAACUACAGAAUACAUUAUAAAUGCUGACUCGUUCUGCAAACAUACCUGUAGCAUAAAUGCCACCACAAGUACUGUUAUAAAAAGAGUUGCUGUCUCAAACAAUUGAAAGUUCAAGUCCAUCUCUUCCCCCAUCAUCCAGCCAAUUACCACACAGAAUGGAAUCUGCAAAUCAUGCAACAUGGGUGUUGGUUGCAAUUGUUUAACCUUGCAAAAAAAACUUGAAAAUGUACAGGACAAUAGUUGAAUCUUGUUGAGUAAAUGAACUUACCACAAACAUAGAUAUCUGUGUUGACGACCCUAUGGCGACACCCAAUGUAAUGUCCUUGUGGAAUGCAAGAGAUUAAAGAUGAGAACAGAAUCACACAAUUGAGUUGCAGAAAGCAGAGGCUACUUACAAGUUUGUUUUUCAUGGCAAACAUAAUGGCGCUUGCAUGCUCAGCAGCAUUCCCCACGAUAGGAAGCAGAAUAACACUAAUAAAGGCCAGUGGCAUGUUUAAUGAUUCAGAGGCCCCCUGUUACAACAUAGCAAAGAAGCACAGUUCGAGCAGGAGACAAUGCAUUAAUGUAAAAUAGUGAUUAUAUUUAUCCUGAUGUAAACAAUUUGUUACCUGUAUGGCAUCUACCAGGUACCCAGAGAGAAUUGAAAUCCAAAUAGUCAACACAAAAAGCCAGGAGAUAGCUUCCCCCUGUGCUAUCUCCUUUUCAUCCUCCUCAUCCUCAGUGCUUUCUUCUUCCUGUUAUGGCAAGUAGGAAAAUUAGGAUUUCAAGGAACUGUGCACAAAUUUAAGCCCAGAUUUUCUCUGGUUUGUUUUGAUGGGCAAUUGUUCCUUUUUGCCUCAUGUGAAUUUGAGAAAACAGCAAAUGAUUACAUGACUAAUUAAAAGAGCCUGAACUGUUUGGAAAGUGUGGUGAAGUGACACACAUACAAGUCAGAAGGGAUAUUCAAAGAAAGGUAUGUGAUGUACUAGUGCAGAGCUAACAUAUUUAAAGGCAAAAGGAGCGUCGCUAUCAUUGUCGAUGAUAAGAAGAAUUACCUAUGGCCUGGGACCUUAAUGCCGUGUCAACAGCCACCACUAAAUCAACAGAUAGGUUACCGCACCAAGGAGGACUGCCACCGACCACGGAGGAGACUUCCCAUCGAAGUACAACAUAUCGAAGGAAACUCCCUACGACUGAGGAAAGGCUAUACGUGUUGUAAACCAACACCAGUCCAACUCCUACUCCUAUACGCCCCACGCAUCGAUAUGGAGUCACCCAUACCUGUUGAGGGAUUUUACGUCGAUCCUAACAGCGGUAAUAGAGCGAGUGUGGAAUUUGUAGUCGAUGGGACGUCACGUCAGGAGAACAGAGGGUCUUGAGCACAGAACACGAAGACACAUGAUAUACCCGGGUUCAGGCCCCAAUUGUGGGUAAAAGCCAUACUUCCUGCCUUGCUCCUUCCUUAUAAAUGUGGAGAAUAUCGAGAGUUACAAUGUAGAGGGAGGACCUCGGCAAGUCAGGCAGUCUGGGCUAGUUCUGAUGAUGGUGUAGAUCCAGGCCUGAAGCUCCUGAAUCUUCUACAUGGUGUAGGCUAAAACUAGGGUGAGGGAGCGAUCCCCUUCUGUGAUGCCCCUGGUACCCCUUAUAUAGCACUGGUUAUGGAAGGCUCCAUAUCGGUGCGAUGGGGUGUGCAGAGAUAGGAGUCGGAUAUGGUGUCAGUAUACAAUGCGUUUGGCCCUUUUCCUAUGUUCCAUACAGUAUUUUCCUACUCCCUUAAUUUCAUUCGAUAGCAGGUCUCCCGAGGGAGCGGCGCUUCUCCAUGUGUCGAGGUGCUAUCUUUGUGUCGGAUUCAGGGCUCCGCAGACCCAAGAAAGGUUCAAACUCUGGGGCGUGUGCGAAGAACUCAACCUCUUCAGCCAACCAAUUCGUCACCCCCACGGCCUAGCUCGAUGAACAAGGAAGAAGAUGGACACGGCAGUUUACCCAGGUUCGAGCCACCUUACGGUGUAAGACCCUACUCCUGCUUUGGGGUGGAUUAGCCUCACGAGGGGCUGAAUAUGAACUAGUACAAGGGAAGAACAACCUCACGAGGUCUGCUCUGGUGUGGGUGUGAGCUGGUGAGGUGUGGAUCUGAUCUGGAGAGAGCUCUCCUUCUACGGUGUUGGCUAACCUAUAUUUAUAGUGGCCUUGGUCCUCUUCCUCCAAAACGUAGGCGGGAAGGGAUACCACAGUGGCCAAUUUGAAAGGGGACAAGUAGCACAUCUUAUCCUGACGAAAGGUGGUCUUCGCCUGCAAAGCUUCUGGUCGUGACGCUGCGGUGGGCUCAACGAUGACAUCCGUCCUGCCGUCCUGGCGGUCUUGGUCUCGUUGCACGGGAAUGGAAACAUUUGGCUGAUUCCUCGGGACCCCGUGCCUGCGCUUGCCUCCUUAGCACCAAAAAGGAAACCUACUCCUCUGCGCCCACUGGCGCCUGCCUGGCCUUAGUCGUCAUGGCUUGCGUCGCCUCAACCUCAUGAGGUGGGCACCUGCAUAGAUAUCUCCGCUCCUCGGGACACAGCCAGGGGAGGCCACUCCCUCCAGAGGUUUUGAUGUCGCCCGCCUCGCGAGGCUUGGCCCCUCGCGAGGGUCUUGUCUUGAAGGUGCUGUAGAUGGGCCGUACCAGGACGUAGACGGAGCCACACCAUGUGCCGCAGGCACGCAAGUCUGGGUACCCUGGUUCCCAGAACGCCGACAGUAGCCCCCGGGCCCAAGGCACGCUCGGGCUUGGCUUCGAGGCGAAGCCAAAGGGCAAGGGCGAAGCGCCGUGGGCCCCAAUCGCCUGCGGACCGAGUCGACGCGUGGCACUUGAUGGAACGUGGGCGUCUCCACUUCCCCACGCUGCCUUGGCAACUGCCCGACCUGACAACUGCCUGGCGCAUGCAGAAAGGCCAUCAUGGCUCGGGGCAUGAGUGGCCGGCGGUUGGCCUUCCCCCAGCUAUAGCCCCCAGCCCAUCUUCGUCUUCUCGCCGCCCACUCCUUCGUCCUCUUCGUCCCACCGUCUUGCCAAAGCGUUCAUGGCGCCGGUGAGGAGGUUCUCUGUCGUGGAGAAGGGAAAGGCUCCCCAGGUGGAACCCGAGCUGCUCCCGCCAAAGAAGAGGCACGAUCGCUCUCGUGAUGCCACCGCGGUGCCCAUGGAAACACGGCCCUGGCACGAACGCGCUCCACCGGGCUUCCCGGUUCGCGCGUAUGCUCGCACGCAAAGCCCUGCCCAUGGGAGCGACCGCGGCCGCUGCGAGGAGCGGAGCCGUGGAGGAGAACAAACGGUGGCCAUACGGCCACCCCGCCCGUGGACCCAUCCGAAGGCACGGCCCACGAGUUUGUGGUGUGGGCGGCAAUGCCGCCGCGCACAUGGAUCCGGCUCUCACGGUCUCUGGCGAGGGAGGUACCGCCGCAGGGGCCCGUCGAGUUGUGGCUGCAGCAUGACGGCUGCUGCAACCAGGCUUCAGAAGCGGAAGUCAAGGUCGUCGACUCUGGCGACGUCUUUAUGACUCGGGGAUGGGGCGCGAUCGCCCGCACCUGCCGCCCGAAGGGAGGUCACGCCACUUCGAGUACGACGGGGCACCGACGCUCUUCUUCAAGGUCUUCAAAGAAGACGGCCGGCAUCUGGAAUGCUGCCCUAGGGGAGGUGAUCAAGGCGGCGAGGCCACCGGCGGUGAACUUGUCCUUGGCCUUGUCCGCAAUUCCUCCGACAGCAGCAGCGCUUCAUUCGGACCAGGUUCAAGUGACGACGACAGCUACGAGCCGCUGCGUCGUCGCGCCCGGGCCUAGGGGGAGGAGGAGCGCCAUCCCGACGUCGCUGGCGAUGCCGCCAGGGCCAUGGUUCUUAGGAGGUUUCUCCUUUUGCUUCGUUCCUGUACAAAAAUCAUGACGGGCCCCGUGGGAGUAUGUAAAAACUUUGACGCUCGCAUUUUAAUGUUAUUAUUCCCGAUUCGAUGCCGUGUUUGCGUUUCUCGCUUUCGCAUGGUUCCCCAUUUCAUUCUCGCGGUAGCUUAGUGCUCUACGCCGGCAGGAUCCAGUCCCCAGGCAAGCUUCGGCCGUCGCUGGUAUGCCAGGUUGUGAUGCCAUGGUCAAGGCCAGGAGGUGAGCGGCCCGAGAUCCGGUAAGAGCCCCUGAGGCGCGAUGCUUAGGAGGUCCCCUUUGGCGUGCAAGUAGCCCCCGAAGGACUGAAAGGGAAGUUUCCUUGCCCGAGCAAGAUCGCGAGGGACAGAACGCUGGUCAUGAGGUCCACGCCUGCGCGUGCGAGGUGACUUAUCUUGAUGGACCUGCGGUGGUUCCUUUGCUGCGUGGACGAGCUUCUCGUGCGACGUUAAGCCAUGCCCUUCUCCCGAUGACACCCCUGGGCAGGGCUCACGCCGACCCCAUCUUCCUCGCUCGUCUAGAUGCUCUAUGUUCUCGGGUCCCGGCCCUCGAGCGAGGCUCAACCGCCGCUGGUAUGUCAGGUCGCGAUGUCGUGGUCAAGACCAGGGGGUGAGGGCUCUAGAGCCAGUAGGAGCCCCUGAGGCGCGGUGCUCAAGCCCCCCCCCUUUAACGUGCAAGCGACUUGCAUGAGAAGAGUGGUUGGCUUCGAGAGGGUACCUAGGAGGGGUUGCGCCCCGAGGUGCUGGCGAGGCUGCUCAUGGUCCCGGCUCCGAAGGUUCCUGCGAGUUAGCCGAAGAGAGAAAGCAUAGCACACAAUUGCGCUUGCUAUCCUGCCGGUGAUCUUUCCGCAAGAAGACGAAUGCACUAAGGACCCGGUGAGGUGACGUGCACGGGGCCGGCCGCGACCCAAAGCUCGGUUUCUUAGGUUUAUCAGCACUGCAGGGACGGACCCGAGCACAGGCAUCGUGCCAGCAGCCCCCGUUGCGGGAUGAGCGAGAGGCGGGUUAGCAACGUGCGGAGGCCGCGACGGGCAACUCCAUGGAUAACGAGACGGCAGGAGUAACGUCAACAACCAUGAUAACUCGAGCAUGCAUAACCGGUCCAGAGUACAUGAAUCAAAAUGGUGCAGCUGCAGGGAUGGGCCCUAACAGCUUGAGGAUGAUGCAGCCCGAGGGGCGCCCUCAACUGAACAAACCAAAAAGUCACCUGGCACCGUCGUUGUAGAUGUGUUGGGGUAGCUGGAGACGCGUGCUGUAGGAGCCGCUUCUCACGAGCCGGCCGGCUCCUGAGUCCCGAGGGGCUCCGGAGGUCCGGGGGGCUCGCGAAAUUCUGACACCUCCUCCAUCAGGACUGCCUGGCGCCUGGCCUCGUGAGCCGCCAGGACGCCCUGCAUGCAGCGCUGGUGCGAGGCAGCCGCGUUCAGCAGGCCGAAUGGCAUGCGAACAUAGCUACAGGGGGAGCCCCCACUCCGGCCAACGCGGGACGGCCAGAAGAGCUUCUGAGAAGCAGCCCUAUUGAGGCCUGGGAUGUUGACGUAGACGCGCAGCUCGCCACCCAUGUCAGGGGCGGCAACUGCACUGGAUGGUGCGGGGCGAUGCUCGCCACGCAUGGCUCGCGCCUCCUGAAGGUCUUUGAUCGCCUUGGUGAUGAACUCCUGAGCGCCUGACGCCUCGCACCUUGCGCCCUGCUCAUGGAAGCGCACGCUGAAGCACGCCUCCACAUGGUGCCUGAACGCCUCCCUCGUGGCGUUGGUCGGGUCAGAGGCCCUCCAGACGAGAGCCCCCGAGCCCGUCCUGAGAGGGGCGCCGAACGCGCCUUUCUAUGCGAAAGAAAGGCGCCCUAGCAGUGGGCGUGGGACCUGAGGCACGAUCGUCGGACACCCCAGGCUCCUGACGGUCCUUGAGGAGGAGAUGCUUCUUCUUGGGGACGGCCUCAGGAGGACGGAUGGCACCCUCAUCGUCUGAGUUCUCGGCCGCUGCAGCCUGGUAGGCGCGCUCGAGGAAGCACGUCGCGUCCUUCUCGUCGCAAGCGACUGUGAUGAUGCCGCCACUUCCUAGCAUCUUGAGGACAUUGUAGCCGUGGUGAGUCGCCGCCAUGAACUUGGCGAGGGCCGGGUAUCCAAGGAUGGCAUUGUACGGGAGGCGGAUGUGGGCGACAUCGAAGUCGAUGAGCUCGGUGCGGUAGUUGUCACGCUUGCCGAAGGUGACAGGGAGGCGAAUCUGCCCUAUGGGGGUGGUGGAGCCAUCAGUCACUCCUGAGAAGGGCUUGAUGGGGAGGAGUUGGUCGUACGGCACCUGGUGCGUCUCGAUGGAGAGGACGUUGAGCCCCGCGCCACCAUCGAUGAGUGUCCAUUGGUGACAAGGACGUUGCUGCUGGUGGACGAGCGGAGCAUUGGGAGCGCGCCGGCGGCGGCUGAACACUUGAGCUGUUCUGUAGAGUCAAAGGUGUUCGACAAGUUUUUGUGCACCAUUGCGGAAAAAAAACUAAUAAGGUUUGAUGCAGGCUAUAUAAGCAAAGGCAAGUCAUUAUGCAAUAGCAAAAUAAUUUUGCAUGGCACAUGCACGCACGUACUUGCAUAUGGGACAUGCAUGAAAUUUGGUGCAACUAAUAUGCAUGUGUGCAUGCACACGUUUGUGGCCACAUGUAAGUAAGCGACUUAGCUAGCUUACGUACGUAUCUACAUAUUCUUUUUGCGGGCACGUAUCUACAUAUUCUUGUAUGUAUAUACCGGCAAGCUCGCAUCCGUAUGUACCUGAAUACCCGCUGUAUGUAUAGACCAUACAAUAUGAGUAUUCAAGUAUAUGCGACCGGCCGGCAGGAGCGGACAUGUAUGCAUCCGAAUACCUUGCGCAAGCUACACUUUGAAAAAAAAGCAUGCACGGGAGCAGCCGGAUGUGUGGUCGUAUAAUUGGCAAGCUACAAGUUUAGAAAUCAUGUUGAAGACAGCACGUCCGACCCAUCACCCCCCGCGUCGUCUCUCUGAGGCGACUCGGGCGGGCACCCCCGCCAAGCGCCGCCACAGCCUCUUCUCCGGCCACCGCGCCUCGCCGCCGCCGGCAAAACGACGCCGGGCAAAGCUCCGCGAAGGCUGGCGGCGGCGGGAUCCAUCCAGCAUCGUUCUCUAGGCCCUGUUGCCCCUUUCCCUCUCCCGCAUCGGGGGCUCCAGAUCUGGCCUCGUGCUCCCUCUGCUCCGCUUCCCCGGCGUCGGCCGGCGCCCUCCUUCCAGAUCCGGCCGGCGUGCCGUGGCUGCGGGCAUCGAGCGCCCACGGGGUGGCUCCCGUGGCCAGGCCUCGUGGCUGCCUCGGCGGCGGCUGCACCGGCUGUAGCCUGCUGGGCUCGAUGUUGCGCCUCGUCUCCCCUGCUCCGCGCCUUGCGCCGGCAUCCGCCGCCUCCCGCCCUCAUCCGUCCGCCGUCGUUGUGGUCUGCCGGGCGUCACACCUUCCCCGCAGAUCCAAAACUUCCGCGCCUUCCCACCUCUGUUGCCGCCCGUUCUGUCGUCGUCGUGCUCCUCCGUGCGCUCACCAAACGAAGGUGGCGUCGUGGCUCCUAUCUCUGGAGCCCUCCACCUCCCAGUUCCCCCCGGGGGGCGCUGCACCGGUGGUCCUCGCUGGUGCCCUCGGCGUCAAGGGUGCCUGCCGGUGUUGCUCCGCCGGUGGGAUUCAACUGGAUCUGGGGCCGUCCAUUCCAGCGCUACCCUGCGCUAUUGGCGGCUGCUCUGUGGCUAGUCGCGUGGCAGAUGUGACCGGGGAUGGGGAGAAAUCCUUGGUCGGCCUGCUGCUGGCCGAGACAGCGGCGACGCUUCCCAUCGUUCUCCAUCUUGAUGGCGUUGUCUUCAUCCCCCGGUCUUGUGAUGUUUGGGGUGUGCUCUGUGGAGUUCUAUGCUUGGUGAUGCCCUUCGACUACACCGGUGGCACACAGGUGUCAUGGCGUCGUCUGGGCCCGGUGCGACCGUUCGAAUGUACCCCAUGACACAGGUGGUGUCGCGGCGUUGUGCAGUCUUGGUUGCCCGGUGCUUUUCAAUUGCGUCGAUGGUGCAGUGUCAUGGUUCAGUCUCGGCUCGCCGCUGCAGUUCGAGCGCCGAUGGUGCCUCUUGUUGUGUUGUGUCCCCCCUCGCCAUGUGUUGUCCGUGUGUUGUUUCGCUUUAUUUCUCCUUCCUGUUCCCCCUGUACUUCUGGUUCACUUGAGCCCUAUCUUGUAUUAGGCUGCAAAGCCUAUAGGCAACAAAUGAAUACAAUUCAGGUGGGGAGGAUUCCUUCUCCCCCCGGUGACAUUCAAAAAAAAAAAGUUUAGAAAAACAAAACUCAACUGACCUCAUCGAUUUCUGUUGAAAGGCAUGCUUGAAGCGACAAGGCAUGUAUUGGUUUGUUUCCUUUUCCUUGUGCAGACUUGGACAUCAAGAAAAAGAAUAGAAGGAAGGAAUUAGCCGCGACUGCGUACAAGCACCAGCCUUCUCGUCCUAUAAAUAUAGGAGGAACCACGAACAUCAAAGGGGGUCAGGAAAAGACCGAAGGCAGAGGAGACGAGGAGACCGGCGUACGCCCUCCACGCAAAGACGCGCCCACCAUGGUGGCACUCUUGCCGGGCAGCACACAGGUUGCUUGCCUAUACGGCGGCAGCGCGUGCGCCAAGGCAUGAAAGAGAUGACCAGUCAAAGGGACGUACGCUGACAAGGAGCCUACACCUCAAAUCAGCACAUAUAUACAUCUAUUUCCUUUUGUAUGCAGGACAAGAUACACAUGCACGUGCACGAUUGUCCAAGAGCAGCAUGUCCUGAGCAUGGAGGAGGUGUUCCCCACAUGAGUGAGCGCCUAGGACUACGCGCUAGUCCUCCAGCCAGUAUGAUGGCCGCUCUUGGAGACGACAUCAUCGGCCCUCUGCCGCUGACUUCUUCAAGCUCACGACGACGGGGCUAAUCUUGUACUUCACCGUGCCAAGACGUUGAAGAUGACGGCAUACCAGCGGUGCUGUCGACGCGCAGCCCGCUGGACUCCUAGUGGUGGCCUCCCUUGGUGAUGAGGCCGACGACGUCUACUUCAUCAAGCUGGAGCCCCGGAGGCGGGAGGUUCGCGAGGAUGCCGCCAUGGAUGGCGACAUGGAGCUCGCUAGGACGAUGCCCUCGUUUUUCUUCAUCAGGCUGGCGCAAUGGAGGACGAAUGUACGGAGGCUCGCGCGGAUGCGGCCGCCGUGCCGCGGUGGAUCGUGGCGCGGAGUUCGCCAAGACGACGCCAGUGUCAACUUCAUCAAGCCGGCGCCAUGGAGGACGAAGGCAUGGAGGCUUGCAAAGAUGCCGCCGCUGUGCCGCGGUGGAUAGCGGCAUGGAGCUCGCCAAGACGACGCACAUCGCCAACAUCAUCAACCCAGUACCGCGGAGGAUCGUGGCGUGGAGCUCGCAAGGAGGACGCCACCAACGUCAACAUCAUCAAGCUGGAGCCCGUAGGCGUCGAGCCCGUUGGGGAUGCCGCCGACGUCUACUUCGUUAAGAUGGAGCCCGGAGGCAUGGAGCUCGCAGGGAUGUCGGCCGCCACGUGCCGCGGAGGAUGGCGAGACGGAGCUCGCUAGGACGAUGCCCGUCGUCUUCUUCAUCCAGCCGGCGCCAUGGAGGUCAGGCGUGGGGGCUCGCAACGAUGCCACCGCUGUGCCACGGUGGAUAGCGGCGCGGAGCUCGCCAAGACGACACCAACGCCAACAUCACCAGGCCGGUGCCAUGGAGGACGGAGGCGGGGAGCUUGCAAGGACGCCGCCGUCGUGCCGCGGUGAAUGGCGGCGCGGAGCUCAACGAGACGACGCACAUCGCCAACAUCAUCAACCCGGUACCACGGAGGAUCGUGGCGUGGAGCUCGCAAGGAGGACGCCACCGACGUCAACAUCAUCAAGCUGGACCCCAGAGACAUGGAGCCCGCAAGGAUGCUGCCAUGUGCCGCGGAGGACAACAAGGACGUGGAGCUCGCCAGGAUGACAUCCAUCAUCAAUAUCAUCAAGCUGGUGCCGCAGAGGACGAAGGCGUGGAGCUCACAAGACGUCACCACCAAUGUCUACCUCGUCGAGAUGAAGCCGCAACCCGGAGCCAUAAAGAUGACACACGCCCUCGGCGCUGCCCGCAAAACGGAGCCCGCGAUGCGAAGAAGAUGGCGACACACGGCAAUCUCCGUGGCCCAAAGCCCAUGAAGACGAGGCGAGAUGGCGACGAGGCGACAUGGCUUCACCAACACUAAGUUUCGAUGGCCCCGUGAGGCGGCGUCCUUUGUCUUGACGGACCGCCGUAAACUCGGCGUUCAGCCGAGACGAGGUGCCAACCACACCGGCAUUGCCGUUGCGAGCGAGCAUUGGUUUUACACCCACGCCAAUCUCCAUAAGAAUACUCCCGCGAGGCGAACCACUUGCAUACCCCGACCAAGCUGCUACAUCGUCGAGAAGUCUGAGCACCCAUGCAACUUCAACAUCGACUACAUCAACGCUGUCAAGACCGACGAGGCACGACAGCAAGGGCGGACAUGGCUAGCACAAAGCCAUGUUUUGAGCGGCACGUGUACCGACAAGGUCACGGGCUUUGCCGCUGCCCACACCACACACACCAUCAUCAUAAUGCAUGGAGAACGCGAAGCGAAGACGACGAAGACGACCACACGGCUUAAUCGGAGGUAUCUCGCGGAGCAACCCGCGGGAGUAAUUAACCGGGAGCCUUCCGAGGCCCCGGGAACCAAGAGACCGCAAUCGCUACAGUCAGGCAGGCCGCGAUAGUAGGCCACAAAGCGCAUAUGUAAAGGGAACUUGUAGUUUUAUUUCUUUGUUUCUCCGAUGAGAGAUUAAUAAAGUGCAUGUUUCCCUAUGUCUAUUUGUGUACUUAGUACACUGGCACGCCCGCAAUGUUUUAUUUCCCCUGAAGCGUAGAGAGAUAAUAAUAUAAUAACCCAAGUUAUUUUUUUAUUAUUUCUCGUGUCAAACAAAUUGGCACGCCCGGUGGGACGUGGUUCUCCUCCCAUCUUUGCUUCGCUAUGGUCGUUGAAAUCGUCUUCACCAAUCUCCAACGUGCAAGCAUGCUGCAAGGAUCUUCGCCAGUAAGCCUCUUUCUUGCAGGUGAACUCUCCCACGCCAGCAAAUCGGAGUCGGCAUUGAUCUAUCCCGGAUCAUUGUCACAUAUGGUCUUCAUCGAGCAUGGAGCCAGGGCCUACAUGCAUCAAGCCCAAGAUCUUGCACAGUUCCAAACUGUGCUGGCGAAAAAGGCGCUAAGGCGGGAGGUCGCCAAGGCAAAGAAGGAGCGUCGCGAGCUAAUGGUUGAGGCGCAGGCCCUGUUUAAGGAGUCAACAAGGGCGGAUAUGCAAGGAGAUGUGGAGCAACUCAACGCCUUCACACCAGGGCCGCCAACAGGCGAGCAAGUGCGGCUUCCCUUCACGCCUCUACCGCGACCUCACACUCAGAGCCGCCAACACCAACACCAUGGCGCACCGAGGUCAAGCUGGAGGAAGGUUUGGAGGCCAUCUCCCACAACCUGCGUAGGCUCAUGGUGAACUCUUGUUCUUUUUGAAAGCGUGCAUCCUCUACGCAACUACAAGGGGAAGAAUUGCAAGGCAAUACAAUUUCCAUCAACCUCGACGAUACUCAAAGAUGUGCAUGGGCGCCAUGUCUCCACAACUCGGCGGUUGAUUGAUGAUCACUCUCCAACGACAAUAGGUUCUCCGUUCCUUGCUUCAAGACACGACACCAGGUGGCAAGGAUUCAAUGUGUGGAUCUUCGCCUACUCCAGGAACAAGUGAACCAUAUCCAUAGGCGGCUCCAUGAUCAAGGAGCGCCGAAUACUUCAUUAACGCAGGGUGUAGGUAGGAUAAGGCACCAAUCCCAAGUCAUCAUCCUCAUCAUGAGCGCCUCGACGACAGUCUUCAACUCACCACUUAGAGUGGGGGCAUCCUAACAUGCCCCCCACGUUGUAAACAAUGGCAAGACAAGACGGUGGGAGGAACCCUCAACCCACUCAAAGGUAGCGACCACGGACCCUCUACGAAAAACUCUUCCACCAUGACAUGUGCCCUGUCCUUGGUGGGAAGCUCGGCCACAACUCAAGGUGAAGGCGGACAGGGCUCCAUCACCCACUCGGCGGCACCAUCCGCCACCCCGUUCUCUCCAGGUGAAGCAUCAUUAAUGUAGCCACAAACUGGAUCUCUCUCAAUGUGAUAUGUGACUGGUCCAAGGUGGGGGUUGUUCACCCAUCGCUGAUAUGGAGCUAUCCUAAGGUGGUGCGUUGUUCACACCACCAUCGUCGCGGAGCUUGCCCAAGGUGUGGAGAUCCAUCUGCAUCACCGUCGCCGACAUGGAGUGCCCCAAGGCAGGGCGCUAUCUACACCGCCAUCGACAUGGAGCGCCCCAAAGGCAGGGCGCCAUAUACCUCCGUUGGCACGGAGCUUGGCUAGGCGGAGCUCUUUCUUCUCCACCAUUGACACAGAUAUCUCAAAAGAUGAGGCGGCUUCUGGACCAUCAUCCCACAGCUUUCCCAAGGCGGGGAUAUCAUCUACGUUGUUGCCUCCCACUCGGAGCUUGGUCCGAGCGGGGCUUGGUCUAAACCGCCGCCAACAAGGAGCUUAGCCUUGGGUGGUGGUCGGUCUACACCGUCACAGACAUGUUAACGCCCCAAGAGGAGCGUCAUCUACAUCGUCACCAACACUGAUAUCGCCUAAGGGCGGGCACCGUCUACACCAUCUUGGAGCUUCCCAAAGGCGGGCACGACUUUUGUGCCUUUACCAACAGGGGGCUCGACCAAGGCAUGGUGACGUCCACACCGUCGCCAAUGUGGAGCUCACCAGACAUGGAGAUGGUCCAGACCACCUCUAGCGUGAAGCAUCACCCGAACGCGGGUGCAAUUUACAUAGCCUCGGAGCACGCCUAUGGUGGGCAUGCCGCUUGCUCCUCGCCAACAUGGAGCGCACCAAAAGUUGGGCGCCAUCUACACCACCCGCGACCAUGUUGGAGGCGUCAUCAUCAACCUCCGGCAUAACGAGGAACGCUGCUACAUCAACAUGUCGUCACCAUCUUCAUCGACAUCACACUCGGCGGGGACGCCGACUACAUCGACACGAUGCCAUCCGACUACAUCGACACGGCGUCGCAAUCUUCAUCAACUCUUCAUCUAGCAAGUGUGUCGUCUACAUCGAUGCCGACAGAUGUCCACAUGGCGUCGCCAUCUGCUUUGACUUAUUGACUGGCGAGGACACAGACUGCACCGACACACCGCCAUUCUUCUACACAAACUGCCUACACCGAGCGGAGGUCGUCCACGUAACUGCGAUGCCCCAAGGUCUACAUCGACAAGCUAGUAUUGUCGUCAUCUUCAAGCGCCGCCGUCAUGCGGCGACACUCAAGUCUACUCCAACUUCUACAUCAACACACAUCACCAAUAUCGUCUUAGCCCCGGCGAGGCGAAGCUGUACUUCACCGACAUGUUUUUUUUUUACCGAUGAAGCAAUCCAUAUCUUGCCAGGCACCGACGAGGCGAAGGCAAGUCAUCCAGUCUGACACCGACAAGGCGGACACCACCAGGCCGGGCACCGGCGAGGCGAAGGCCGCCCACUUCAUCACCAGAUAAUCGACAAAGACGAAGGGAUAUGUCUAAGCAUGGCCGGAGCGAUGGGCGUACCGCUCUCCCCUUCACUUCAUCACCACGUCCCCACCAUCUACACCAAUCCAACAACGCGAUCGAAGCUUUCAACAAGACACUCGGCAAGAUACUCGAGAAAACGGUGACAAGGAACAGGAGAGACUGGCAUGACCAUCUCUUCAAGUCCUUAUGGGCGUACUGCGUUACCGUCGGUACCCCAACACAGGCGACCCCAUUUUUUCUUGUUUGCGGGAAUGAGGCAGUCCUACCACUAGAGGUCCAGCUACCCUCUUUGAGGGUGGCUAUCCAAGAUGAGAUCACCCAAGACGAACAGGUACAACUGCGGUUUCAGGAACUCGACGCCCUUGAAGAGGGUCGACUUAAUGCCCUACAGAACCUGGAGCUUUACCGCCAGAAUAUGGUGAGAGCUUAUGACAAGCUCGUCAAGCAACGCGUCUUCCGAAAAGGCGAGGUGGUCCUUGUGCUCAGGCGGCCCAUCGUCGUGACGCACAGGACGAAGGGCAAGUUUGAGCCAAAGUGGGAAGGGCCAUACGUCAUCGAGCAAGUCUACGACGGGGGAGCAUACCAGCUCAUCGAUUCCCAAGGAGUCCGACCUAUGCCCCCAAUCAACGGAAGGUUCCUCAAAAAAUAUUGAUCUAGUUUAUUGGGGAAACUUUUUCUGUGGGCUUUCGGAUCCAUGAUGCAUUCUCCUUAGCAUUUCGUGGAUAUAUCUAGUUUUCCCCAAUUUUUACAGACUAAGUCCAACAAAAAAUGGCUUUCCCCUAUCGCACUACGCUGUUGAUUGAAGUUUCGGCUACCCUAGGACUUGUUGGAGGGCGGCACAAUGUGUUGAUUUGCGGGUGGAGCGGCUCCUACACCCACAUGCACGACACGUACUAGGUGUAUGCUUCUGGAGGCAGCGGAGAUGAUUACUUGGGCACUUCUGAGUAUUGAGACCCCGCGCUCUUCAUGUUUCCCGGCAUGCCUCGUGUUCAUAGAGGCUCGCACUCCAGGGAAGACUAUAGCAAAAGAUCAUGGAGGGUCACAUGGCAACCCUGGGUUGCGCCACCAAAAGCCCCAGAUAAUGUGCUAGAGGGUUUUUCCUAGUCCACGGAGGUGAACAGUUGCCUUCCAAGUUCUCAAGAUGGGUCCCUAAGAAUCCUGGAAGAAGAGUCCUCAAGAAGUUCAGCCGAAUGUCAAAGCAAGUCCAUGAAGUUCGCGGCCAAUCAAUCAUCCGCGUGAGCAAUCAAAAUAAAAUUCCCAAAGUCCAAGAAGCAAAUUCAAGAAAAAUCCCAACAGUACAAGAAGCAAUCAAGUGGUCCCAAGCAGAAAGGGACCCACUAGAAGGAAGGAGGGAGGUAGCUAUUCACCACCCCUCAAUAUGCACGAAGAAAAAUCGCCAAGCUGUUGUCCCAAAACCAUUUAUCCUGAACUUACCACACCCAAGUCUCUGGGUUCAUGGGGCGUGUGCAGGGGGCAUGUUGAGCUAUGGGGGCCCUCAGUAUGAUGAUGGGCUAGAGUAUGAAUUUUUGUUGCCUCUCGGAAGCAUCCCGAAACACGGCGUCUUCAUACAUGUACACCAAAGCUAUUUAAGUUGUUGAGUUGGAAUCGUCAAGGUCUUUUGACGGUUCCCAAUGAUAAGUCCUUCGGUAGCCUUCUCAGAUAUCACGCCUAUAGCUGGUGUAUAACAGGAAAACCAACAUUUAAAACCCACAAACAUUUUUCCCCUCUCUUUUUCGCCUGUUUUCCUCUGGUGUUCCUAGUUGUGCUCCUCCAACAUCUUUUGCAACCAUGGAGAGACACUCCCUGUCAUUGUUGACGGCAUUCAGACAACAACCACUACACCGAACUACGUCUUGGGUGUUUGGGUGCAGGAAUACCUAUGCGUCCCUGACAACACCGAUGACAGCCUGACAACCAAUGGUCUACACCGACACACACGAUGGGCGCCAGAAGGCAACGCCUGCGCUCACGAAGGUGGAGCAGAUUCGUCUCCGCAACCCCGUCUCCAACAACAAUGAAGCAUGGGGGCAACGUCAACCCCUCAAUUAUCCGUAAGGCCGAUGGCGUCCCGCCACUAGAAUUGUCACACCAUGGAUGGUGUGACGAUUCGCUCAACGAAGGGGAGUUGUCGACGGUCUACCGAUGCCUCACCUACAUCAACACAAGGAGAUCAUGGGAGCAGUGCACGCGCCAGUACGGCCAGCGUGAAUCUGUGAAACCCUCCAAUCAAGUCGGUUGGCACUGCAGCAAGGCGGUCGCGAUGAGAUUGGCAAAUUUUAUUUAUUCUUAUUUUCAGGCCAAGGCAUGUUAGUUCGCCAUGGAAUGAAGACGGGAUAAGGUUACCUUGUUGGCUGGCAUCGUGCUUGUUAUACGAUCCAGCGAGCUCCCUAGAUAACAUAAGCGUGGAUGGAUAUACCUACACUAAGAUACAUUGUUUCUAAUGAAUCAUCUCUGGAAUGGCACGCGCGUGGUCACGGAGAUGUCAACUCAGAACCGGUUCUCCGGGCUGCAUAUGAAUUAUGCACCAUGAAAAGAAAGAGCAUUUCAUCGAGUCAAGCUCAAUUUGAUUCGCAUUCAAGCUCGACUCGACGAGGGGGCAUUUGUUCGACGAGUUUUUGUGCACCAUUGCAGAAAAAAAAACUAAUGAGGUUUGAUGCAGGCUAUAUAAGCAAAGGCAAGUCAUUAUGCAAUAGCAAAAUAAUUUUGCAUGGCACGUGCACACACGUACUUGCAUACGGGACAUGCAUGAAAUUUGGUGCAACUAAUCUACGUAUUCUUGUAUGUAUAUAACGGCAAGCUCGCAUCCGUAUCUACGUAUUCUUGUAUGUAUAUAACGGCAAGCUCGCAUCCGUAUGUACUUGAAUACCCGUUGUAUGUAUAGACCGUACAACAUGAGUAUUCAAGUAUAUGCGACCGGCCGGCAGGGGCGGACAUGUACGCAUCUGAAUACCUUGCGCAAGCUACACUUUGAAAAAAAAAGCAUGCACGAGAGCAGCCGGAUGUGUGGUCGUAUAAUUGGCAAGCUACAAGUUUAGAAAAACAAAACUCAACUGACAUCAUCGAUUUCUGUUGAAAGGCAUGCUUGAAGCAACAAGGCAUGUAUUGGUUUGUUUCCUUUUCCUUGUGCAGACUUGGACAUCAAGAAGAAGAAUAGAAGGAAGGAAUUAGCCGCGGCUGCGUACAAGCACCAGCCCUCCCGUCCUAUAAAUAUAGGAGGAACCACGAACAUCAAAGGGGGCCAGGAAAAGACCGAAGGCAGAGGAGACGAGGAGGCCGGCGUACGCCCUCCACGCAAAGACGCGCCCACCAUGGUGGCGCUCUUGCCGGGCAGCACACAGGUUGCUUGCCUAUACGGCAGCAGCGCGUGCGCCAAGGCAUGAAGGAGAUGACCAGUCGAAGGGACGGUACGCUGACAAGGAGCCUGCACCUCAGGUCAGCACAUAUAUACAUAUAUUUCCUUUUGUAUGCAGGACAAGAUACACAUGCACGUGCACGAUUGUCCAGGAGCAGCAUGUCCUGAGCAUGGAGGAGGUGUUCGCCACGCAAGUGGGCGCCUAGAAGGACUACGCGCUAGUCCUCCAGCCAGUAUGAUGGCCGCUCUUGGAGACGACAUCAUCGGCCCUCCAUCACGCAGCUUGCUGCCGCCGACUUCUUCAAGCUCACGAAGACGGGGCUAAUCUUGUACUUCACCGUCCCCAGACGUUGAAGACGCCGAAAAACCAGCGGUGAUGUCGACGCGCAGCCCGCUGGACUCCUAGUGGUGGCCUCCCUUGGUGAUGAGGCCGAUGACGUCUACUUCGUCAAGCUGGAGCCCCGGAGGCGGGAGGUUCGCGAGGAUGCCGCCGUGGAUGGCGACAUGGAGCUCGCUAGGACGACGCCCUCGUUUUUCUUCAUCAGGCUGGCGUAAUGGAGGACGAAGGUACGGAGGCUCGCGCGGAUGCGGCCGCCGUGCCGCGGUGGAUCGUGGCGCGGAGUUUGCCAAGACGACGUCAGUGUCAACUUCAUCAAGCCGGCGCCAUGGAGGACGAAGGCAUGGAGGUUCGCGAGGAUGCCACUGCUGUGCCGCGAUGGAUAGCGGCACGGAGCUCACCAAGACAACGCACAUCGCCAACAUCAUCAACCCGGUACCACGAGGAUCGUGGCGUGGAGCUCGCAAGGAGGACGCCACCAACGUCAACAUCAUCAAGCUGGACCCCAUAGGCGUCGAGCCCGUUGGGGAUGCCGCCGACGUCUACUUCGUUAAGAUGGAGCCCGGAGGCGUGGAGCUCGCAGGGAUGUCGGCCGCCGCGUGCCGCGGAGGAUGGCGAGACGGAACUCGCUAGGACGAUGCCCGUCGUCUUCUUCAUCCAGCCGGCGCCAUCGAGGUCAAAGGCGUGGGGGCUUGCAACGAUGCCGCCGCUGUGCCACGGUGGAUAGCGGCGCGGAGCUCGCCAAGACGACACCAACGCCAACAUCACCAGGCCGGUGCCAUGGACGGAGGCAUGGAGCUUGCAAGGACGCCGCCGUCGUGCCGCGGUGAAUGGCGGCGCGGAGCUCACCAAGACGAUGCACAUCGCCAACAUCAUCAACCCGGUACCACGGAGGAUCCUGGCGUGGAGCUCGCAAGGAUGCUGCCAUGUGUCGCGGAGGACAACAAGGACGUGGAGCUCGCCAGGAUGACAUCCGUCAUCAAUAUCAUCAAGCUGGUGCCGCAGAGGACGAAGGCAUGGAGCUCACAGGACGUCACCACCAAUGUCUACCUCGUCGAGAUGGAGCCCGCAACCCGGAGCCAUAAAGAUGACACACGGCCUCGGCGCUACCCGCAAAACGGAGCCCGCGAUGCGAAGAAGAUGGCGACAACGGCGAUUUCCGUGGCCCAAAGCCCAUGAAGACGAGGCGAGAUGGCGACAAGGCGACAUGGCUUCACCAACACUAAGUUUCGAUGGCCCCAUGAGGCGGCGUCCUUUGUCUUGACGGACCGCCGUAAACUCGGCAUUCAGCCGAGACGAGGUGCCAACCACACCGGCAUUGCCGUUACGAGCGAGCAUUGGUUUUACACCCACGCCAGUCUCCAUAAGAAUACUCCCGCGAGGCAAACCCCUUGCAUACCCUGACCAAGCCGCUACAUCGUCGAGAAGUCUGAGCAAAGCAGGACCCAUGCAACUUCAACAUCGACUACAUCAACGCUGUCAAGACCGACGAGGCGCGACGGCAAGGGCGAACAUGGCUAGCACAAAGCCAUGUUUUGAGCGGCACGUGUACCGACGAGGUCACGGGCUUUGCCGCUGCCCACACCACACACACCACCAUCAUAAUGCAUGGAACGCGAAGCGAAGACGACGAAGACGACCACACGGCUUAAUCAGAGGUAUCUCGCGAAGCAACCCAUGGGAGUAAUUAACCGGGAGCCUUCCGAGGCCUCGGGAACCGAUAGACCGCAAUCGCUAUAGUCAGGCAGGCCGCGCUAGUAGACCACGAAACGCAUAUGUAAAGGGAACUUGUAACUUUGUUUCUCCGAUGAGGGAUUAAUAAAGUGCAUGUUUCCCUAUGUCUAUUUGUGUACUUAGUACACUAGCACGCACGCAAUAUUUUGUUUCCCCUGGAGUGUAGAGAGAUAAUAAUAUAAUAACCCAAGUUAUUUUUUAUUAUUUCUCGUGUCAAACAGAAGGUGAUGGAGUACUUGGACCACCUGAUGGGACGCGACGCCACGAGCUUGGGGAGGGCCGCGUUCACCUCACGAGCGAACUGCUUGAAGAUGCGAUGAGAGGCGAGGGCCUGAGCGCCACCCAAGAUGCAGGCAAUGGUGCGAGGUUCCUGAAAGCCCCCAGCCCCAUCGUCUUGGCGAUGGUCGUCGUUCCUCCUUGCCCGCGGUGGCAGCGGAGGAAGGCCGGUGUUGCCCUAAGGACGGUCCUCGCGGGGCUGGUCACGCCAGGGGCCGUCGCAAGGCUGGCCCUGCCAGCGGUCCUCACGAGGUUGAUCACGCCAGUCUUGAAAGGGGUCGCGGUUGUCCCAGCGGCCUCCACCGCGGCCUCCUCCGCGGCCAUAGCCACGGUCGUUGCGCUCGGGACGGCGGCCGAUGCGCCCGUCGCGGAUUGCCCUAAGCUCCUGCCAGUCGUUGGUGUUGUGGCUGUGGACGUUGUGGAAGACGCAAAACGGGCGGCUGCCUUUGGAGGACUCGGCGUGGUCACAGCCACGCUUCAUCUCAGGCUCGGCCGCGAGCACAGCAGGGCCCUUGCGCUUCACGUCCUUGCCUUGGCCUUCUUGUCUUGAGGAUCGGCCUUCGAGAGCUCCAGGAGGGAGAGGCGACCUUCCUCUGCCCUCACACACUUGGUUGUCAUGUUGAACAUCUCCAGAGCCGAACACAGAUCUUCGUGUAUGGCGAGCUCUUCCUUCAUCUUGACGUCCCGGACACCAUCAAUGAACGCCGAAAUGAUGGCCUCGUCCAACAUCUUUGGGAUCUUGAGGUGAACGUUGGUGAAGCGUUGUAUGUAUUUGUGCAAGGUUACUCCUGACUGCUGCCUGAUGCGCCGCAAGUCGCCCACAGCAGGGGCGCGGUCGUGAGUGCCCUGGAAGUUGGCGAUGAAGCAUUCGCGCAGCUCGUCCCAGGAGGAGAUCGACCCCACCGGAAGGUUCACGGGCCAAGAACGCGCGCCAUCCUUGAGGGCCAUGGGAAACCAGUUCCCCAUGACUCUCGUUGCCAUUUGCCACCUUGAUGCUCGGCUCAUAGAGCUGGAGGAACUCAGCGGGUCAGGAGUGUCGUCGUAGCGCAGAGGCAGAUCCGGCUUGAACUUGCCGGGCCAGACGAAGCGGCGCAGCUCCCGAGUGAAUGCACGGCAGCCCGCCGCAUUCAUGGAUGAUGGGAGCCAGCCGCUGAGGAGGAGCCUGAUCUUGACGCCCGCGCGCCGCCGCCUCUGGCGGCACACGGUCUUGACGUGGUGGAGCUGGAAGCGCACGCGCUUCUCCUUGGGGCCGCUGCACCACCUAGCAGCUUUCUUCGUCACGUGCUGGCGCCCCUGCGUGGCGGGUCACGCUGGGGUGCCUCGCUCCUCGGCUUGGGGUCCACGCCGCGCAGAGGAGGAGGCGCGCCGUGAGCCACGUCGCCCGCCAGAGACGAAGGAGGACGGGGCGAACGGGGCGGUGCAGGGGCCUCGCCAGAGGUGCUGACGAGCUCGGCGAUGCGGGAUAGCCAGUCGUUGGCCUGGCGAUAGCGCAGAAGCUCGCGCGCCAUGAGCAGCACAGCCUGCGCGUUCGCCGGCCCGCGACGAGCAUGAGAAGACGACGUCGUGGCUGGAGUGGGUGAUGGAGUCACGGCGACGAGUCCUGCUGCUCGUGGGCAGCAGGGUCGGUGGCAGCGUUGGCCACCGGGGAGGCAAAGCGGCGGGGCACGUCGUUGCCCACAUGUGUCGUCUGAGCGACACGAGCGGCCCGGCGCUCGGCACGGGCACGGCAGGCGUCGGCCAUGGGAACGACGAAACGGCGGCGGAGCAAACGACGAAAGAGCGGCUUUCACACGCCCCUACCUGGCGCCAAAUGUCAGAUUCAGGGCUCUGCAGACCCAAGAAAGGUUCAAACUCUGGGGCGUGUGCAAAGAACUCAACCUCUUCAUCCAACCAGUUCGUCACCCCCACGACCUAGCUCGAUGAACAAGAAGAUGGACACGGCGGUUUACCUAGGUUCGGGCCACCUUGCGGUGUAAGACCCUACUCCUGCUUUGAGGUGGAUUAGCCUCACGAGGGGCUGAGUAUGAACUAGUACAAGGGAAGAACAACCUCACGAGGUCUGCUCUGGUGGGUGUGAGCUGGUGAGGUGUGGAUCUAAUCUGGAGAGAGCUCUCCUUCUACGGUGGUGGCUAACAUAUAUUUAUAGUGGCCUUGGUCCUCUUCCUCCAAAACGUAGGCAGGAAGGGAUCCCGCAGUGGCCAAUUUGAAAGGAGACAAGUAGUACAUCUUAUCCUGACGAAAGGUGGUCUUCGCCUGCAAAGCUUCUAGCCGUGACGCUGCGGUGGGCUCGACGAUGACAUCUGUCCUGUCGUCCUGGCGGUCUUGGUCUCGUUGGACGGGAAUGGAAACCUUUGGUUGAUUCCUCGGGACCCCGCGCCUGCGCUUGCCUCCUUAGCACCAAAGAGGAAAUCUGCUCCUCUGCGCCCGCUGGCGCCCGCCUGGCCUUGGUCGUCAUGGCUUGUGUCACCUCAACCUCAUGAGGUGGGCACCUGCAUAGAAAUCCCCGCUCCUCAGGAGGCAGCCAGGGAAGGCCGCUCCCUCCGGAGGUCUUCAUGUCAUCCGCCUCGCGCGGCUUGGCCCCUCGCAAGGGUCUUGUCUUGAAGGUGCUGUAGAUGGGUCGUAUUAGGCCGUAGACGGAGCCACGCCAUGGGCCGCAAGCAUGCAAGUCUGGGUACCCUGGUUCCUAGAACGCCGACACUUUGGGCUUUGCAGAGCCCAUUUGAGCGGCGAUGGGAGACAUGUACGUAAUUUCACUUACGCCGAUAAUGUCAGAGCUAUAAAUAGGGGCCACAUAGAAGGGGGUCCACUCCUUUCUAACUAGUUUUAGCAUACUACUCCAUGCAUAACGAUUUCGGCGCUUAUCGUCGAAAUCUCCAUAACUCGACAAGCAUCCCCCGACGUUGUAAUCCUCGAUAUCCUCGAUAUAUAAAGAAAAGAGCAAGGUAGGAAGUAAGGCGUUUACCCACCAUGGGGGAUGAACCUGGGUAAAUCAUGGUGUCCCCUUUACUUGCGUUCUAGAUCUACUGUAUCCUAACAGUUAGGUCUCCUCAACUACAAAGUCCACGUACUUGCUCCAGUGCCGAUGUUAGGACCCAGCGAAAAUCUCUUAACAACUGGUGCCGACCAUGUCGUUGCCACGAAAUCAGAUCAAAUAUAUGACAUCAUUUCAUCAUCAUCGUCGGACGACGAACCAUCUAGGGCAAGGACAAAUAGCCAAGGGUCACCGGAGAAAGGCUCGGGGGCUUACUCAGCAAGAACGCCCCUACUUCUUUUUCGACCAAGGGAAGUCCAAAUGCACAGGAGAAGGCGUCAUAAUUCAAGUCCUCCGACCCCAAACGCCCGACGAAUUCAGCCAAGGAGGAGAAUCAUGAGAGAUUCAUGGUGAAAGAGGUCGCUACCAACUGCAAUGCAUGAGACAGAUCAGGGUAUCCACCCUAGAACUUCAUCAACGGUCUGGACAACCAAAGGGUGAAGCAAAACUUAUGUUGCCAGAAGGCGAUACACAAGAUCAUAGGGAAGAGGAUCGUUCAAGAGAGAACAUGUAUACAAGUAGAGCAGAAUCAGGAGCGUCUCUCUGAAGAAGAAACUGUGAGUGGAGUGUUCAACUUGUCGGCUUGGCGGGAACAUGAUGAAGCAAUCCAAAAUCUCAUGCACUAUCCUCACAACUCGCUGAGUUUCCAUGACUCGAGGGGUACCCCCUGACAUUGUAAUGCUCCAUAUCCUCGAUAUAUAAAGAAAAGAGCAAGUUGGGUAGUACGGCUUUCACCUUGGGGUCCUAAAUCUGGGUAAAUUAUUUGUCCCCCUUUACUUGUGUUUUAGAUCUACUGAUAAUCUGAUAUCCUGACAUGACGUCCCCUCGACUACAAAUUCGAUGUACUAGCUCUAGUACCACUGUUAGGACCCACGAAAAUCCCUCGACAUAUAUUACAUGCAUACUGUGCAGCUUGAUCACUUACUUACACUACCCAAUGCAGAAGACACAAUUUUACACGGAUGACUAUAAUAACUAUGAUACAUCAUUAAAAUGAUAUGUGCCCCUCAGAGUAAAACCUUAUGCAUCCAUAUCUCACUUUACAGUUUUCAGUGUUUGCAUAAACUAGUUCCCCUUAUCUAAAAAAAGUGUUUGCAUAAAUUAGCUUUCAACUACUUACUUCGCCAAUUGGGCUGUACAGACUGCGCUGGCUCUUGAGUUGAAAAAAUAGAUAGCUAGCAUAAGCCACAAGCAUUAUGCAGCUACUAAACCUUGAAAGAGAAACUUCGGAUUUUCCAUAGUGCGCUUCAGAAUGUGUAAAGUGAAGCACCGCUGGAAACAUUAGACCCAAGACAGCCAUCAACAACAACCCAGAGUUCACAACAGCUGAUGCCUACAUAGAAAAAUGCAAGUUAAUAGAGAUAAAAUGUGUGGAUAAUAAUGAAAAUAACCACCUUUCUAUUCUUACCUUAUUGAAGACCUGAUCUCUAUUAGGAUGAGCAAGCCCACCAGCAAAGAAAGCACACCCAAGAACUAACAGCAUGUUUGAUAAUAUAGAGCCUAGUAGUGACUGCUGUACGACACGAAUCAUUCCGUUUUUCAGUGCAUAUAUCGAGAUAAUCAUCUCUGUCGCAUUUCCAAAAGUAGCAUUUAGAAGCCCCCCAACUGCAGUUUCAAAAAGGAAGAGUCUUUACCGAUUGCUGAAGUCAAGAUUUGAAUUAGGAAGCUAAGAUAAUAUGGAAUGAAGACACAUACUUGUUGGGCCAGUGUAGCAAGCAAGUUGCCUGCACAAGACAAGGCAUCUGUUAUUGAAAAUGCUAAAUGGAGCUCGAGCUCCAUGUGGGCGGAACUUCUAUGUUUCAAAACAUUCUGAAAAAUACGCAUAUACCCAAAGACAUAAUAUACAUGUGUGUAAAAUUUCAUGUUGAAAUACGUUAAAAUGAGAGCUACACAAAAAAAACAAAUGUGUGGCUGUUUAGCACAUGCACUAUUCAUUCUCAAAGUCCACGAUUUUGUUGUCUUUUGUGCGGCUCACAAUUCAUGGUAUUUCACCGUGAAAUUUUACACACGUAUACAUUACAUCUUUGUUUACAUGUAUAUUUUUGUUCAUAAUUUUUUGAAACUGAAAAUUUUGAAUUUUGAUUUUGUUUUUCAAUAACAGGCUCCAUGGAGCCCGUCCUCCAAAAUGCCCUACUCAUCCGUUGUAAUAUACAGUAAGUUAUAUAACAUACAGAAGCUAGAUUAGACAAAAUCUGCUAGGCACUUACUCAGUUGCAUAUCCCAAUCUCUCGGCCAAGGGCGUGAUACCAACUAAGCUGAAAAGGAAAACCCAUCCUUGCUGUGAAGCAUUUGAAGGAAGCAAUCCCAGAAAUGGAAAGCAUUAUCAGGUCAGUCUUGCUGUUGCAAGUAAACGUGACGAAGAAUGCAGCAGAAAAAAUGAAAGCAUGCGCCCCUAUUAUAGAUUCAAAAGUAGUACAGUAGUAUAAAUGAAAGUAGCUAACAAAGCAGAAAGAGUAAAUCAUACUGCAUCAACUCUGAUGAAUAAUGCAGAGUACCCAGUUUAGAUGGGUGAUCAUUGUGGGCAUUGUUCCUUACGUGGUUCCCGGAGAGGUAGUGAAGCGUGAUGGCGAGGGGCCCGAAGGGCAGGAGCACAUUGAUCUUGGCCUGGAAGAUGACGAUGCGUAUGCUCCUGAGCGCCAUCCGCCACUUGCUCCGGGGCGAGAGCGACUCCGCCACCGCCGCGAGCGAGCCGAUGUGCUCGAAGUCGAGCGACUGCAUCUUCCUGGCCGGCGGCGGCGUGCCGGCCGCCAUAUCAUCAUCCUCCUCGAACCCUAGCUCGGCCUUGUCCGCCGCCCCCGUCAUCUGAACAAAUCUAAAACGAAGCGAAUCCAAAUCAAGAACCGCCACCGAUCCCUGUCAACCCCCGGACAGCGCAAGAAUCCUACCUCCCGCGCGACGCGGACAGAUGAAGAUAGCGCUCCAGGAAAUGCGAAGGAUUACGGCUCGGAUUUGGAUGGUCGAUUUCGAAUCAACAAGGCCUCUCCUCGUUCGUUCUACUAAUCCUUUUUAUCUGACUAUGUUUCGUCUAGAUAACUAAGGCCACGUACAAUGGUUGAUAAGAUAGUUUUAUCUUAAAUUUUGUAUGUAAAUUACAAAUGACAAAAAAAAUAUGUCUACAAUGAGUCAUCUUUUAGCCUUAUCUUUAAUAAUUAGUUGUUUCUAAAAUUAUAGUGAGACAAAUUGUGCUAAGAGAUCAUCUCUUGUCUUUUCUUAAAUAAGAUAAGACAAGCCUUCUCGUAUGAUUUCUUUCUCCUCCAUCUCAUCAUUUAUCAUACGUGGCACACCUAAGAUAGCAUCAUUGUACAUGCUCUUAGAAAAGGCUUGUCUUCUCUUAUGAUCUCUUAGCAUAAUAUAUUGUAGACAUUGUUUUAGGAAUAGCUAGUUAUUGAAGAUAAGGCUAAGAAAUAAUCUAUUGUAGAUAUUAUUUUUUGUCAUCUCUAAAUUACAUGCAAGACUUAAGAUAAUGUUGUCUUAUCAACCAUUGUACAUGCCCUAAUAUGACAUCAUCUUAUAUGUGACUCUUUCGACUAGUCAAUGUGUACGUCCAAUGCAUGUUAAUUUGGAAAUAUAUUAAGUGUAUGUGGAUGUUAAGUAGGAUAUUAUUUACGUAUUAUUAUAUGAUUAGCACUAUAUUGGCAUGAAAUUAAGUACACGCUAAAGUGUUGAGCGCUCGACAUUGAAGUAAUCUCGGUCGUUGGAUUGACAUAAUUUAAUGAUCGAGAUUAAUUGGAUUUGCAUGUUUGGAUCUUUUUAUAUUGGUAUAUAGAUAUAGAUAACUGAAUGAUUUUGUUGUUUUGUUUGUUUGUCUUAUUUUUCUUUACUCCUAAAGGAGCAGUCCGUACGUCGUUGGUUUGUUCGUUCGUUCGACAUCCCCACCCAUCGAUCCCACAUGUUUUUUUUUCUCCCUUUCGAAGUCCACCCGGUCGAUCAAUUUUGUUGGCAGACCGAUUCCCUGCCUUCCUGCGUUUGUAAUCUUCCUUUUUUUAGACACUUUAUUAAUCUUCCUUUUAUGGCCACGGACGAUCCAAUCCGGCCCAGAUCAUAUCCUUCUCACCCACGACAGCCAAACCCUAUGAGCCCUUCCCAUGUCGUUUUUCUCUUGUGGCGGCUAGAUAGAUGAAACAGCGGCGCUCAGGGCAGCAUCGGCAUUGGGCUUAGGAUGAUGGUGCAAGACGGGCGUGAGGACGUGAGGUACAUAUUUUUCCCUCUCUACCUGAGCCUACUCAUCUCUCCCAUCUUGGUCUCUCUCUAGGAAUGACGUGCGGCGGCGUCGAAGCAAGACAGCGGCGCGACUGGGCGACCGCGCCCUCGAGCGAGUGCGGUGGAGACGAACUGAGGGGCGCGGGGGAGGCAGACUGGAGGCACGGCCGUCGGUGGGUUACUUUGCCAUGCCGCUCUUCCUCUCCCCUUGUGUGUGCAUCUUCUUCUAUCUAGUAAUUACCGCUCCACUCUCCUCUGUUCCGGUUAGAGCGCCUUAAUUUUUAUAUGCCUUAUCAACUUGCUGUCGGCCGGCUGUCCGCCACCAUCGUGAUGUGAAGUAAUCUAUCUCAUGCAUAUACGCUUUGUCUCUCCCUUAUAUCUCUCUUCCAUGCGACUUGCUGGCCAGUCGUCGCCCAAAUCAAACUCAUCAGCAGCAGCAGUUCAUGGCAGUAGUAAAUCGGUCAAUGGGAUCAAGUGGUGAUGCAGACCGCUACGUGAGGCAAUAAGUAAGACUUGUGCACGUACACAACCCUGAGCUAGAAACUCGAUCUAUGUCAGUAUUUGUUCAAAGCUAAUGUACCGCUUUAUUUGGACUGCUACACUGAUGUGAUGUCUUAGGAUUUGUUCAUCACAGCACAGUGUGAACAAUUGAUUUGGUUCAUUGGUUCGGUGAACUGGUGCAGGUGUGGUCAUGCCGGUGCCGCCAUCACUCUUGGAGGUUUGAAGGGAACAACUGGAUGCGAUGGUGAGGGAAAGUAUCUAGUGCUCCCAGGCCUAGGGUGCUCCCGGUGCUCCGAUGUGAAAAACAUUUUUUAAAAUGCUCAAAAAAUUCUAAAAAAAUGCAGCGCAUCGACGGAACAUUGAUGUCUCUUGUCACAAAAUUUCAAAUCAAAAUUCGAAACAUUGCUCGAUAUACAAAAAUGACAAAUUUGACAUCAAUGUGAUAAUGGGCCAAAACUAAAGCCCAACUUAUGUUAUGUACAAAAAUUUGUCAUUUUUGUAUCUCGAGCAAUGUUUCGAAUUUUGAUUUGAAAUUUUGUGACAAGAGACAUCGAUGUUCCGUCGAUCUACUGCAUUUUUUUCAGAUUUUUUUGAACAUUUUAAAAAUAUUUUUCAGACAUUUGGAGCACCGGGAGCACCCCAAGCCUGGGAGCACUAGAUACUUUCCCGCGAUGGUGAAUGGAUGCAGUUGUAUGCUUCUUUCUUGUUCUUGGUGUUCAACAGAAUUAAGUUGCAAGUUUAUUAUGCCUAGAGCUGUUAUUUUGUGUAUGUACUAUAGCCUGUAUAUUUGCCAAACUGUGUGAAUUCUCCUAUGACCCGAUAUAAAUUUUAGCUAUCAUUUAGUUUAUCAAUUCAGAACUAAUUUUUUUAUGUUGGUUUUGUGAACCCAAUUGCUGCUGUCAGAUGGAGCUGUUUUGUUGGAGAAGUUUUGUGGCUGGGGCAAUGCCACCAAUGAUGAGGGGCCUCGACCCUGAUAGAUUAUCUACUGUUGACAUGUUUGAUUUGCAGAGCAGAUGUUGCACGAAGAAACAAGAAACAUGUUUGAUUUACAGGGUGAUGCUGCACUAAUUCUUCAGUUUGUUGUCUUUCCAAUCCAAAAGAAGUAAGCGCUUGAUUUGCACAAGCCAUGGUGACACCAGCUCAGGGCCAUAGUGAUAUGUAAUUUGACAUAACUUAUCCCUGGUUGUGUAAUGGAGAAAUUAGGGAUGCCUAAGAUCAGCGAUGAGGCAGUGGCAUGCGCUCGUCCUCUCAGCCCAUGUUUUGCUGCCAUGGUGCCCUUCACUUACGUCCGCCUCUAGAUGGCGCUUGCAACACCUAUCCCUUUCCGCAGCUCAUCCAUAAUGCAGGACAACACCACUAAUGUGAGCAUUGUUGAGUUAAUUGUUGCUUUUAUUCUUGAAGUCAUCUUGGCUCCCUAAUUCUAAGCAUGACUGUAGUUGUUUGAAUUAUGUUUGCUACUUCAUGUACUCAUAAGCAGUAUUCUUAUGUAUAUGCAGUAUUCUUCUUCUUCUUUUUCUUCACCAAAGUUGUUUCAUGAACUCAUAAGCGCUACACUUUGGUGGCCAUGAUAUUUCUCAUAUGGCAUCUUGUCUUUUUCCAUUCAGAUCUCAACAUGUGAUUGGUGGUCGAAGAACAAAAAACUUGGACUCAUGUUCACAACCUUGGAGGAGGGAAACAUCAAAAGUUCGUUAGUGCAGGACUGUGCUGGGUAGCAUGUGAGGCCCCAACCGACGCAGUCGUGCACCAAAGGCCCAGUACACAUAUACACUACAUCGUGGACUGUGAUCGCUGUGUCUACUGGGACUAUUUAGGUAAUUUGAAUUACCCUUGUCUAAAAAAUAAAGGCAAUUUGAAUUUUCUUCCAUUCCCACAUGAAUGUCAGUAAUUAAUAUGACACUGGUAUUGCAAAUCUUCAGUGUCCAGUUUUUUUGGUAAUGGAACAUUUUGGCCUACAUAAAUGGAUUCCAGGAGAACAUGAUGCGAGCAGUACCGGCAAAAGCAUGUGUGGUUAGAUAUUUGUUCGGAGGAAUCAUUACAAGAAAAUGUGAAAGAGCAAGGUCUGGGAAGGAUAUGAAAGGAAGCAUUGAUAUUCAUGACGGAGUGCUAGUUAUAGGAUGACAGCCGGCUUGAGGAUGAGGGUAGCUUUCUUUCUGUUGGUUAAAGAUCUUGUGGGUUCCCCUAACGCUAACUAUGUCUAUAUUAUUGGUAUGUGACCUGCACAUGUUAUGCUUAGAUGCACUUCUAAAUUUCUUACAUGCGUAUACAUAUUUUAUUUAUUUAUUUUAUCACUAAUUUCUACUAGAACCUGAGUAUUGAUCUCAUGCAUGCUUAUACAUAAUUACUAUUGAUUUACAACCAUUUGUGAUAUAGCAUUACUUUGCACUGUAAUCAGGAAGAUGUAUCUUGACCAUGAUCUCAUUAUUUGACACGAAAUUGGGAUAUAUGAGAUGGUCUAUGUGAGAAUCGCGGAGACUAAUGUAUGAUUAUUUCAUUUCAUUUUGAUUUCCAGAAAGUGUUCGUUCAACAAUAUGAUAGCCUAUGACUCUAUUUUACCUUUGCUUAUAAAAAAAGGUCUAAAUCAGUUCAUAAUUUCAUAUGUGUUGUUUAAAAAAAUAAUAUCAUAUGUGUUUUCAGUAUUAGUUUGGUUUGUCUCAAAUGUGACAACAAUUAGAAAAUGGUGUAAAUUUGGUUUAAAUUUUAAAUCCUUUUGUAUGUGCAAGCAUCAUUUCCUAUUCUUCCUCGCGCUUAUGACAUUUAUGGUCCAUUCUAAUGGUGAAUCAUUCUUUCAGUGUGUUUGCAUGACUGUCAGACAGGAUGAAUAAAAUACCUGAUUCUCCCACCAUUUUCAUCGUUGUUGCCGAGACCCAUUGCUAGGGUUGCUAGGUGCAAAAAUGUGAAUGAUGUUGUAUGAAAAUAAGAAUAUCAUCGGGUAUUUGUGGGCAUGAAAAACUUUAGGUGUUUGAAUAUUGACCGACAGGCCAUUACCUUCACCUUCACUAGAGGGAAGCAAACAUGGAAAUGCUUCUACUCCCUAGAACUUUGAGAAACAAGGCUUCAUUAGUAGAGGCGUAGAGCAGCAGGAUGGGCCAUUGACUACAAUCGAUCCCAAGAAAUGGGUUACGAUACUUUAUAAAUACUACUAUAUUUGGGUAAAAUGAUGAACAAACUUUCACCUUUUUAUAUCAGAAACUUAGUUAAUGCUUAAUCAAGAUGUGACAACACAUUUACUAACUUUAGGUUUGGUGGCAGCUAGGCAUCGGUCGACUGGCCCAAAUUUGCGGCGCUGCAGUUGCCGGGUCAUCCGAUUUACGCACUACCGUUUGAUCUGGACGCUAAUAGCCAUUCGAUUUAAGUUUUUCUUCCGCCCCUACAUGAAGCCUCGUUGCAGCUCGCCAUGGGUGAUUCGUGGAGGGACGGGACUCCCUUGCACCAUAGCUCUGUCCCCUUGCAACACCAUCGGCUACCUCGGAGCAUCAUGUCGACAUCAUUGAACCGUCCCUGGUGGUCGCCGUCAAUCUCUCCUAGCUUGUAGCAUGGUGUCACCAUGUUGCAGCUUGCCAUCAGCCGCAGAGCCGGUUCGAGGAAGGAACAAUGUCGACCAUGGCACACCGAGGGGCAUUUGACUCCGAUGGCUCGCCGAGGACCCUCAUGUUGUCGCAGUUUCCCAAAUUGCCUGUCUAGCAAAUUUUGCCGUUGAUUCUAGCAAAUUGCUUUGCUGGUUAUAGCAUUCACAUUGCGGGGUCUGCCUAUGCAACAAAAUCAAGCAUCGGUCCUAGCAAAACUCGCCAAUGGUUCCAGCAAAUAACGUCAUCGGCUGUAGCAUCAACAUCGCAAGCAUCUACGUCACGUGGUCUGCCUACACAACAAACAUGAGCACAUGUUCCAGCAAAACUUAACAGCGGUUGAAUCUUGUCGACGGCCUGUUUCAACAUCUCACCGGUUUCGCCAGGACCUCACCUCCACGCAUUGCAGCUUCGACAGGUGCUGGUCGCAGGUUCCGAAGGAGUCGAAUGCAAUUUUUCCACGGCUUUUUGCAGCACAUGUGACUAUCCUCCACCUGAGGGGGGCCAUGGGGAUUUGCAGGAGAUGCAUGCGGGAGUUCCCUGGCGUGGUAAAGGAGAGGGCGCCAUGGGAUUAGCGAGUGAUAGAGAAAGGAUGAGGGAGGUCGUCGGCCUAUUCAUGAGAGGGAGUCAUGGGGGAUUUGGGGAUAUCGAUGUUGAAGGGAUGGCCUCAACCAUGAUAAUGAGAAAGACAAUGGAUACAAGGGGAUCCACAUCGAGGAAGAAGAUAAGGAGGAACAGGGUUAACCGGUGUGCGGGUCCCAUGGCCCAUGGACCAGCGGAGGACGUGUGGUCUAUUGGAUCAAGCCAGAUCCAACGACCAACCUGCGAUCGACGCGGAGCUUCAGCCGGAUAGCAUCAUUUAUUUAAGUUUUUUAUCAACUCCUUUGAGUUAUACGUACAUACUUAUCACUCUUUUAGGUCAACGAGGAAGUAUGGUGCAAGGAGAGAAGGCGCCGUGGCCAAGGUGAGGUGGACGUCAUCCGGUUUUAGAGAAGACUUCAGUGAGAAAUGCCCCAAUAUGGCAUGAAAUCGAGCAGGAAGGUAAGGGUUCCGCAGGAAAACGGAAGGGUGCGUCCUGGGGUGGGGUUUUUGUAUUGGGAUUGUGUGUGGGUGAUAACACGAGGGAUAGUUCAGACAACCAUAUUUCUCCCCCACAUAUGGGCUUGAUUUGGGGAGCUCGGACUGUCCAAACGGUUGAAUUUUGAGGAGCCUACUGGACGCCCGUUUGAAUGUAGGGGCGAGCCCGGACGUACGAGGGAAAAAUGAGCUUCGACCUUGAAGACGGCCUUAAUUAUUUGUUUGAUUUAUUUAUAUGCAUUGUAGCCCGUAGCAACGCACGGGCAUUCUACUAGUUUUUUUUAAUAAUCAGAUUGUUUGUCUUGUUUCUUUAUCAUCGUGACACCCAGCCUCAGAACCACCCCUUAUGAAGUCGCAUCUGAUUAGGCGAGUAAUUUGAGGAAAUGCCGUACUUUUUCUGGGACUUUACUCUUACUAGUUGACCCGUUGCGCCAAAUGGCGCAGAGACCCGCUAAAGACAUGUUAUCGAUGAAAAUAGUUUCAUUUUGUAAAAACAUAUUCAAUACUGAUGUGUUAGACCAUGCUAUAUUGACAAUAUGUUUAUCAUCCCAAAAAAUCUGAGUGUGAAAAACAAACCAUAUUUGUAUAACAUGUGUAGGCAGUUAAGGAAGCUUUUUUUAGCUGAAAAUAUGGUUAUCGCGCUGACAAAUCUGAGUUUGAAAAGAAAAUUUUAUAUAAGAACAUUAAAUGGCAGAAUGACCCAGUGGCAACAUGUAGUGCUAAAUGUUAACUACAAAUCCGUGGGUUAUUCGUUUGGGCAUCUUUCUCGUUUUUCUAAAUUUUGAAAUUACAAUAUACUGGUAUGCUUUCCUCUGCCUCAUCAAUCCCCACAAUCGAGAUGUGCGGAGGCAGCUCUAUGCAUGAGCAGGGCUUUCAAGUGGCGCGCUCUCUGGAUGACCCAUUGUGCCAAAUGGCGCAAAGGCCCAUUUAAAACCAUGAACACUUCAAAAAUAUUUGCAUUUGUUAAUAACUAUACGCUUGAGCAAUCACAUAGGACAAAAAUUGUAACUACUUUUAUAAAAAAGAAUAGACUUGUCUUUCAAAAUAUAUACUUGAGCAUGCAUAAUUUGUUAUGUUAUUCAGGAACACAGAGGCAUAAGUUUAAAAAAAAUUCAAACAAAGAAUGAAAUGUAAAUAGUUGCUUAAUGUAAUUAUGCAACAAAUUAGAACAUCGGUGGGUCAAAUAACUGAGCCUGCAAUUAGAAAGUCCAAAUAGCUUACGCUAAAAAGAAGGUAAACAUAGGCGACACGGUAAAAAAGAAGGUAAACAUAGGUGACACAAUAAAGCCAGGUUUGAUGAACUCCAUUGCACACUUUGUGGUGUUUGAUGAAUAAAGCUACCCCUCAAAAAAAAGUGACACAAUAAAAUGUACUUAAUACACGAUGAACAUUUCUUAGAAAUAGUGGUCAAUUACAUCAUAUAAUUUGGUUCUGUACAAAAGAAAGUUUCCUCUUUUGUGUAUAUAUAUCCUAAAUACCACCCCUUGCGAUGAACUAUCUGUCUUUGUCCACAAAUUUGGUUAUUCACCAUCCAGCAUGUCAGUUGCAGUCUCCUGAAGCAUAGGAACAACAUAAGUUAAAACAAUGUAGUCAAACAUACACUAA
Molecule: long non-coding RNA, 36803 nt
Filed under: Triticum aestivum (bread wheat)
Lineage: Eukaryota; Viridiplantae; Streptophyta; Magnoliopsida; Poales; Poaceae
Description: long non-coding RNA (TAES_LNC001534)
Source: RNAcentral